AUAGUGAUCCGGUGGUUCUGAAUGGAAGGGCCAUCGCUCAACGGAUAAAAGGUACUCCGGGGAUAACAGGCUGAUACCGCCCAAGAGUUCAUAUCGACGGCGGUGUUUGGCACCUCGAUGUCGGCUCAUCACAUCCUGGGGCUGAAGUAGGUCCCAAGGGUAUGGCUGUUCGCCAUUUAAAGUGGUACGCGAGCUGGGUUUAGAACGUCGUGAGACAGUUCGGUCCCUAUCUGCCGUGGGCGCUGGAGAAUUGAGGGGGGCUGCUCCUAGUACGAGAGGACCGGAGUGGACGCAUCACUGGUGUUCGGGUUGUCAUGCCAAUGGCACUGCCCGGUAGCUAAAUGCGGAAGAGAUAAGUGCUGAAAGCAUCUAAGCACGAAACUUGCCCCGAGAUGAGUUCUCCCUGAGACUUUAAGUCUCCUGAAGGAACGUUAAAGACGAUGACGUUGAUAGGCCGGGUGUGUAAGCGCAGCGAUGCGUUGAGCUAACCGGUACUAAUGAACCGUGAGGCUUAACCUUACAACGCCGAAG
Molecule: ribosomal RNA, 531 nt
Filed under: Klebsiella pneumoniae
Lineage: Bacteria; Pseudomonadati; Pseudomonadota; Gammaproteobacteria; Enterobacterales; Enterobacteriaceae
Description: bacterial LSU rRNA
Rfam family: Bacterial large subunit ribosomal RNA
Source: RNAcentral